RNAcentral lists this ribosomal RNA (468 nucleotides) under uncultured bacterium. Its description in RNAcentral is "partial 16S ribosomal RNA". It matches the Rfam family "Bacterial small subunit ribosomal RNA", at positions 28 to 507 of the family's 1533-position model. The record is from RNAcentral.
GACGGACGCUGGCGGCGUGCUUAACACAUGCAAGUCGAACGGAAAGGCCCUGCUUUUGUGGGGUGCUCGAGUGGCGAACGGGUGAGUAACACGUGAGUAACCUGCCCUUGACUUUGGGAUAACUUCAGGAAACUGGGGCUAAUACCGGAUAGGAGCUCCUGCUGCAUGGUGGGGGUUGGAAAGUUUCGGCGGUUGGGGAUGGACUCGCGGCUUAUCAGCUUGCUGGUGGGGUAGUGGCUUACCAAGGCUUUGACGGGUAGCCGGCCUGAGAGGGUGACCGGCCACAUUGGGACUGAGAUACGGCCCAGACUCCUACGGGAGGCAGCAGUGGGGAAUAUUGCACAAUGGGCGGAAGCCUGAUGCAGCAACGCCGCGUGCGGGAUGACGGCCUUCGGGUUGUAAACCGCUUUCGCCUGUGACGAAGCGUGAGUGACGGUAAUGGGUAAAGAAGCACCGGCUAACUACGUG